This 1966-nucleotide ribosomal RNA is filed under the name human gut metagenome. Its description in RNAcentral is "bacterial LSU rRNA". It matches the Rfam family "Bacterial large subunit ribosomal RNA", at positions 1 to 1980 of the family's 2925-position model. The record is from RNAcentral.
GAAAGUAAAAAAGGGCGCAUGGCGGAUGCCUUGGCUCUCGGAGGCGAUGAAGGACGUGAUAAGCUGCGAUAAGCUUUGGGGAGGUGCAAAUGACCUUUGAUCCAGAGAUUUCCGAAUGGGACAACCCAAUAUCUUGAAGAGGUAUUAUCCAACGUUGUUGGAGGCUAACGCAGGGAACUGAAACAUCUUAGUACCUGCAGGAAAAGAAAAUAAACAAUGAUUCCCCCAGUAGUGGCGAGCGAACGGGGAAUAGCCCAAACCAUCCAUGUUACGGCAUGGGUGGGGUUGUAGGACUACGCCGUUGCAUGAAGACAUCAGAGAAGAACUUUCUGGAAAGAAAGACCAUAGAGCAUGACAGUUGCGUAUUCGAAUGUUGUCGAAGCAUAGUAGUAUCCUGAGUAGCGCGGAGCACGAGGAAUUCUGCGUGAAUCUGCCGGGACCAUCCGGUAAGGCUAAAUACUCCCGAGAGACCGAUAGCGAACCAGUACCGUGAGGGAAAGGUGAAAAGCACUUCGAACAGAAGAGUGAAAUAGUUCCUGAAACCGUGCGCCUACAAGCGGUCGGAGCUCGUUGAUGAGUGACGGCGUGCCUUUUGCAUAAUGAACCUACGAGUUGCCUUUGCCGGCAAGGUUAAGUGUGACGACACACGUAUCCGAAGCGAAAGCGAGUCUGAAGAGGGCGUAUAGUCGGCAGUGGCAGACGCGAAACCAAGUGAUCUACCCUUGGCCAGGUUGAAGGCUGGGUAACACCAGCUGGAGGACCGCACCAAUAAGCGUUGAAAAGCUUCUGGAUGAGCUGAGGGUAGGGGUGAAAGGCUAAUCAAACUUGGAGAUAGCUCGUACUCCCCGAAAUGCAUUUAGGUGCAGCCUUGCGGGUUACUGAUGUGAGGUAGAGCGACUGAUAAGAUGCGAGGGCUUCACCGCCUAUCAAGUCUUGACAAACUCCGAAUGCGCAUCAGUUCUACCGCAGGAGUGAGGGCAUGGGUGCUAAGGUCCGUGCCCGAGAGGAGAAGAAUCCGGACCACCUGCUAAGGUCCCGAAAUGACAGCUAAGUUAAACUAACGAAGUCUGACUGCUAAGACAGCUAGGAUGUUGGCUUGGAAGCAGCCAUUCAUUUAAAGAGUGCGUAACAGCUCACUAGUCGAGGAGUUUGGCGUGGAUAAUAAUCGGGCAUCAAGUAUUCUACCGAAGCUUUGGGAUGUUUAAACAUCGGUAGGGGAGCAUUCCACUCGGCGUUGAAGGUGAGGCGUGAGCCUUGCUGGAGCGUGUGGAAAAGCAAAUGUAGGUAUAAGUAACGAUAAAGGGGGUGAGAAACCCCCUCGCCGAAAGACUAAGGUUUCCUGAUCAACGCUAAUCGGAUCAGGGUCAGUCGGGUCCUAAGGCUCAGCCGAACGGCGAUGCCGAUGGCAGAAACGGUUAAUAUUCCGUUACUACCUUCAGGAGUGACGUGGAGACGCAGUAGUGACAGUGCCGCCAUCUGACGGAAUAGAUGGUUGAAGGGUGUAGGAGUCGAUCAUGGCAGGCAAAUCCACCAUGAGAUCCGAACCUGAUAGUAUGCCGCGUCCUUCGGGACAAGGCAAUAGUGCGCGUAAGCAUGCUGCCGAGAAAAUCCGCUAAACUUAAUCCUGCAGGUACCCGUACCGCAAACGGACACACGUAGUCGGGUUGAAUAUACUAAGGCGCUUGAGUGAUUCACGGUUAAGGAACUAGGCAAACUGACCCUGUAACUUCGGGAUAAAGGGUCCCUACCCUUUUAUGGGAGGGCGCAGAGAAUCGGUCCAGGCAACUGUUUAACAAAAACACAGGGCUGUGCCAAAUCGAAAGAUCCAGUAUACAGCCUGACACCUGCCCGGUGCUGGAAGGUUAAGAGGAGAUGUCAUCGCAAGAGAAGCAUUGAAUUGAAGCCCCAGUAAACGGCGGCCGUAACUAUAACGGUCCUAAGGUAGCGAAAUUCCUUGUCGGGUAAG